RNAcentral lists this ribosomal RNA (467 nucleotides) under uncultured bacterium. RNAcentral's name for it is "partial 16S ribosomal RNA". It matches the Rfam family "Bacterial small subunit ribosomal RNA", at positions 29 to 507 of the family's 1533-position model. The record is from RNAcentral.
ACGAACGCUGGCGGCGUGCUUCACACAUGCAAGUCGAACGGAAAGGCCCUGCUUUUGUGGGGUGCUCGAGUGGCGAACGGGUGAGUAACACGUGAGUAACCUGCCCUUGACUUUGGGAUAACUUCAGGAAACUGGGGCUAAUACCGGAUAGGGGCUCCUGCUGCAUGGUGGGGGUUGGAAAGUUUCGGCGGUUGGGGAUGGACUCGCGGCUUAUCAGCUUGUUGGUGGGGUAGUGGCUUACCAAGGCUUUGACGGGUAGCCGGCCUGAGAGGGUGACCGGCCACAUUGGGACUGAGAUACGGCCCAGACUCCUACGGGAGGCAGCAGUGGGGAAUAUUGCACAAUGGGCGGAAGCCUGAUGCAGCAACGCCGCGUGCGGGAUGACGGCCUUCGGGUUGUAAACCGCUUUCGCCUGUGACGAAGCGUGAGUGACGGUAAUGGGUAAAGAAGCACCGGCUAACUACGUG